Molecule: long non-coding RNA, 321 nt
Filed under: Lepisosteus oculatus (spotted gar)
Lineage: Eukaryota; Metazoa; Chordata; Actinopteri; Semionotiformes; Lepisosteidae
Description: lncRNA (ENSLOCG00000021859.1)
Source: RNAcentral
GGUCCUGAAGUUACCGGGGCUUCUGUUCGUCCUUCCAAUCCUCCUUCAAAGCAUUCCCACUGGGCACUUUUUCGAAAAGGAUCCGGUCACUGGUUGAUAACCUUUCAAGGCAGACAGGGAAUAUGUUGUUCCAGAUAAUGAUGACAUCAGGGCAUGCAGAACUAUCGUACAGUAGGACGUGUACCCUCUUUUAAAUUAUGCUAAAACCACCAUUUGUGUUCUGGUAUUAAGAAUAAAUUAUUUUAUUUCUGUGCAGGUUAUUAACCUGCUAUGCUCUUGUUAUUAUUUCUUCACCUUUGCGUUGUUCUCAACUAAACAUCG